GCUAGGUGCAGUAGCACACACCUGUAAUCCAAGAUACUCAGGAGGCUGAGGCAGGAGAAUUGCAAGUUCUAGGCCAGCCUCUGCAAAUUAGUGAGACCUUGUCUCAA
This 107-nucleotide small RNA is filed under the name Marmota monax (woodchuck). The record is from RNAcentral. Lineage: Eukaryota; Metazoa; Chordata; Mammalia; Rodentia; Sciuridae.